RNAcentral lists this ribosomal RNA (467 nucleotides) under uncultured bacterium. RNAcentral's name for it is "partial 16S ribosomal RNA". It matches the Rfam family "Bacterial small subunit ribosomal RNA", at positions 28 to 506 of the family's 1533-position model. The record is from RNAcentral.
GAUGAACGCUGGCGGCGUGCUUAACACAUGCAAGUCGAACGGAAAGGCCAGUGCUUGCACUGGUACUCGAGUGGCGAACGGGUGAGUAACACGUGGGUGAUCUGCCCUGCACUUCGGGAUAAGCCUGGGAAACUGGGUCUAAUACCGGAUAGGACAAUGGUUUGGAUGCCGUUGUGGAAAGUUUUUUCGGUGUGGGAUGAGCUCGCGGCCUAUCAGCUUGUUGGUGGGGUAAUGGCCUACCAAGGCGUCGACGGGUAGCCGGCCUGGGAGGGUGUACGGCCACAUUGGGACUGAGAUACGGCCCAGACUCCUACGGGAGGCAGCAGUGGGGAAUAUUGCACAAUGGGCGCAAGCCUGAUGCAGCGACGCCGCGUGGGGGAUGACGGCCUUCGGGUUGUAAACUCCUUUCGCUAGGGACGAAGCGUAUUUGUGACGGUACCUGGAGAAGAAGCACCGGCUAACUACGU